AGCACCUGACUUUUAAUCAGGGUGUCCUGCGUUCGAGUCGCAGAUGGGUCA
RNAcentral lists this transfer RNA (51 nucleotides) under Gottschalkia purinilytica. RNAcentral's name for it is "Clostridium purinilyticum tRNA". It matches the Rfam family "tRNA", at positions 22 to 71 of the family's 71-position model. Rfam says of the family: Transfer RNA (tRNA) molecules are approximately 80 nucleotides in length. Their secondary structure includes four short double-helical elements and three loops (D, anti-codon, and T loops). The record is from Rfam by way of RNAcentral. Lineage: Bacteria; Bacillati; Bacillota; Tissierellia; Tissierellales; Gottschalkiaceae.